GACGAACGCUGGCGGCGUGCUUAACACAUGCAAGUCGAACGGAAAGGCCCUUCUUUUGUGGGGUGCUCGAGUGGCGAACGGGUGAGUAACACGUGAGUAACCUUCCCUUUACUUUGGGAUAACUUCAGGAAACUUGGGCUAAUACCGGAUAGGAGCUCCUGCUGCAUGGUGGGGGUUUGAAAGUUUCGGCGGUUGGGGAUGGACUCGCGGCUUAUCGGCUUGUUGGUGGGGUAGUGGCUUACCAAGGCUUUGACGGGUAGCCGGCCUGAGAGGGUGACCGGCCACAUUGGGACUGAGAUACGGCCCAGACUCCUACGGGAGGCAGCAGUGGGGAAUAUUGCACAAUGGGCGGAAGCCUGAUGCAGCAACGCCGCGUGCGGGAUGACGGCCUUCGGGUUGUAAACCGCUUUCGCCUGUGACGAAGCGUGAGUGACGGUAAUGGGUAAAGAAGCACCGGCUAACUACGUG
Molecule: ribosomal RNA, 468 nt
Filed under: uncultured bacterium
Lineage: Bacteria
Description: partial 16S ribosomal RNA
Rfam family: Bacterial small subunit ribosomal RNA
Source: RNAcentral